RNAcentral lists this ribosomal RNA (326 nucleotides) under uncultured eukaryote. RNAcentral describes it as "partial 18S ribosomal RNA". It matches the Rfam family "Eukaryotic small subunit ribosomal RNA", at positions 1470 to 1796 of the family's 1831-position model. The record is from RNAcentral.
CCCUUAGAUGUUCUGGGCCGCACGCGCGCUACACUGAUGCAUUCAACGAGCCUAGCCUUGACCGAGAGGUCCGGGUAAUCUUUGAAACUGCAUCGUGAUGGGGCUAGAUUAUUGCAAUUAUUAAUCUUCAACGAGGAAUGCCUAGUAAGCGUGAUUCAUCAAAUCGCGUUGAUUACGUCCCUGCCCUUUGUACACACCGCCCGUCGCUCCUACCGAUUGAGUGUGUUGGUGAGGAGCUCGGAUUGGCUCUUAGUGGUGGUUCGCCACCACCUAGAGCUGAGAAGUUCUCCAAACCGCCCCACUUAGAGGAAGGAGAAGUCGUAACA